RNAcentral lists this ribosomal RNA (1846 nucleotides) under human gut metagenome. RNAcentral describes it as "bacterial LSU rRNA". It matches the Rfam family "Bacterial large subunit ribosomal RNA", at positions 518 to 2451 of the family's 2925-position model. The record is from RNAcentral.
AAAGGACCCCGGGAGGGGAGUGAAAUAGAACCUGAAACCUUGUGCCUACAAGCACAUAGAGCACAUCAACGUGUGAUAUGGUACUUUUUGUAGAACGGUCCGGCGAGCGAUUGUAUGUUGCGAGCUUAAGGUCUUAAGGACUGGAGGCGUAGCGAGAGCGAGUCUGAAUAGGGCGUUCAGUAACAUGCAAUGGGCCCGAAACCGGGUGACCUACCCAUGAUCAGGCUGAAGUGAAAGUAAAAUUUCAUGGAGGGCCGAACCGACCUCCGUUGAAAAGGCGGCGGAUGAAUUGUGGGUAGCGGAGAAAUUCCAAUCGAACUCGGAGAUAGCUGGUUCUCCCCGAAAUAGCUUUAGGGCUAGCCUCAUAUUAGAUACCCGGAGGUAAAGCACUGAAUGGCCUAGCGCCCGAGAGGGUAGCGAAGCCUAUCAAACUAAGAAUGCCGGAGUAUUGAUGUAUGGGAGUCAGACAGUGUGAGAUAAAUCUCAUUGUCAAAAGGGAAACAGCCCAGAUCUACAGCUAAGGUCCCAAAUUGUAUCUAAGUGGAAAACGAUGUGGAAAUACGCAGACAACCAGGAUGUUGGCUCAGAAGCAGCCACUCAUUUAAAGAGUGCGUAAUAGCUCACUGGUCGAGCGUCUCUGCGCGGAAAAUUUAACGGGGCUAAGAUACAAACCGAAGCUUAGGCUGCAUCGUAAGAUGCGGGGUAGGGGAGCGUUGUGUAAGCGGAGAAACAGUAGCGUAAGCGGCUGUGGAGUUUACAGAAGUGAGAAUGCCGGAAUGAGUAGCGCGAAUGUGGUGAGAAUCCACAUGGCCGGAAACCUCAGGUUUUUGGAGGAAGGUUCGUCCGCUCCAAGUUAGGCGGGAGCUAAGGUCAGGCCGAAAGGCGUAGCCGAUGCACAGACGGUAGAGAUUCCGUCCCCACCGAAAGAUUUAAGCACAGGGACACUUUUUGAAGGUCGGAGCCAGGUGUUGGUUCUGGUAGUGAUCGAGGGAAAUAUAGUACCGAAGUCCGGCUGGAGAAGAGGCGAGAAAAGCUGUGUGUAUAUCUAAGGUGCCCGUACCGCAAACCGACACAGGUAGGUAGGAAGAAGAUUCUAAGGCCAACGGGAGAAGGGUUGUUAAGGAACUCGGCAAGUUGACCCCGUAACUUCGGAAUAAGGGGUGCUCACGAGAGUGAGCCGCAGAGAAUAGGCCCAGGCAACUGUUUACCAAAAACACAGGUUUGUGCUAAAUCGAAAGAUGACGUAUACGAGCUGACGCCUGCCCGGUGCUGGAAGGUUAAAAGGAGAUGUGCAAGCAUUGAAUUGAAGCCCCAGUGAACGGCGGCCGUAACUAUAACGGUCCUAAGGUAGCGAAAUUCCUUGUCAGGUAAGUUCUGACCCGCAUGAAAGGCGUAAUGAUCUGGGCACUGUCUCAACAGCCCGCCCGGCGAAAUUGUAGUACCGGUGAAGAUGCCGGUUACCCGCGACAAGACGGAAAGACCCCAUGGAGCUUUACUGUAGCCUGAUAUUGGGUUUCGGUGUUGCAUGCACAGGAUAGAUGGGACGCUGGGAAAGAAGCGCUUUGGCGUUUCUGGAGCGGACGUUGGGAUACCAUCCUUGCGACAUUGGAAUUCUAACCUGCGCCUCUGAAUCGAGGCGGGGGACAUUGUCAGGUGGGCAGUUUGACUGGGGCGGUCGCCUCCUAAAAAGUAGCGGAGGCGUUCAAAGGUUCGUUCGAUCUGGACGGAAACCAGAUGAUUGAGUGCAAACGCAUAAACGAGCCUGACUGCGAGACUGACGGGUCGAGCAGAGACGAAAGUCGGAGUUAGUGAUCCGGUGGUAUGUGAGUGGAAAUGCCAUCGCUCA